CAGUGAAUAGUUUAUUUAAAAUAUUAAUUUUGGGGAUUAAUGAUAAGCUAAUGCUUUUUACUGA
This 64-nucleotide transfer RNA is filed under the name Urolabida histrionica. RNAcentral describes it as "tRNA-Pro". Lineage: Eukaryota; Metazoa; Arthropoda; Insecta; Hemiptera; Urostylididae. The record is from RNAcentral.